UAACCUGGCUGGCACUCUGCCGACCCCGCAUGUGCAGAGCGAGCCUCCCGGUCGCCUCCUGAAGCCACAGCGGCCCUUCCUGCCCCCAGAUGGGACCGUUCACCCUCCUCGGGAGUCUGUGGUCUGGGGGCUGCUGCACAGGCACCCCAGGGCCCACCCACUGGGCGCAGCUGGGCCCACCCACUGGGCCGCCCUCCUCCAUCCAUGGCCGGACAGCCCUUCCCCCCACCAGGGCUGCCAUCCCCGCCCUGAGCCACUGCUGGGGGCACCUGUCUGUCCCCCAAGCCUGCUGUCCUCACGUCCGGGAGCCCCCCUCCACCAGGCCCAGCACAGACAGGCGGUCAAUGUGACUGGCUGCACGAAUGGAGCCUGGGCAGGCAGGCUCCUGGAAAAUUGAGAAAGUCGUUCAAGGUCAACCAGGCCAUCCGCUGUCCCCAGGGGCUGGCCCAGGCCAGCUCCUGCGUUUCCACAUGGGGCGCUGGAGGGCCCUGGGGAAGGGGGACUCUGGGCUCCAGCCAGCACCCCUGAACUCGCUGGGCAACCUUGGGGCCCUGGUCAGCCACAGAAGUCACGGGUGGCCAAACAAGCGGCUCAGGCCUACUCCUAGGCCGCUUAGGCCCCGACCUCAGCGGCCGUCUGCCUCCAUCUGUCCCCGUCAGGCCUGGCAGCCACACGCCCGCCGGCUGCCCACCUGCCCGCACGCGCCCUCCUCCUCUCUGCCUGGCUCGCCCGUUGCUUCUGACAGCCCUAACCCUGCAGGCUCUCAACAGUGUGGGGAAGGGACAGGUGACAGAGUGGCGGGCAGGGGUGUCAGGGACCUCAAGGUCCUGCUGGGAGGGCUGGACCAGAGACCUCAAAUGUGAGACGGGCCCCAGUCCACACGGAGAGCAGGCAGAAGCAGGCCAGCCUCCUGCUGGGACGGGCUCCCUAGCCAAGCUGCGUGCCCCAGGGCCUUUGCACAUGCUGGUCCUACCCUAGUGCUCUUUCCCUGCCCUCCACACGGUCAGCUCUUCUCUCAGCUUAGCUGUCAUCUCCCAAGUGGCUCAGAUGGCAAAGAAUCUGCCUGCAGUGCAGGAGACCUGGGUUUCAUCCCUGGGUUGGGAAGAUCCCCUGGAGAAGGGAAUGGCAACCCACUCCAGCAGUCUUGCCUGGGGAAUCCCAUGGACAGAGGAACCUGGCAGACUAUAGUCCAUGGGGUUGCAAAGAGUAGGACACGACUGAGCAACUAACACUUUUCGAGUUCCUCACAGUGAGGACUGGACAAUCCCCUGAAUUGGUCCCUCAUCUGUCCGCCCAUCCUCUUGCCUUGAGUCUCUGCAGGGUGCCAGCCCCUCCCACCCCACCCACCCAGGGCUUUACUCCUUUCUGGUUCACAUGGUUACUGUCAGUUUCUACCACGGGAACUCCCUGCUUCCAGUCUUCUCUGAAACCAUCACACACCUUACGCGCCAUGAAGCUCUUUCCUAAGGCACUGUCCUUACCCCAGCUCUACCCCAGCACUGCACGUGGCUCACGGCCACCCACACAGACGAACCCUGACUCCAACACUGACUGAUUCCUGAUCCUGGUCACAUGCUGAGCCGUGACCCUGGUCAGGCUGGCCGCAUAGUUCCAGGCACAUCCCAGAAGCGAUGCCACCAGCCACUGUGCCCUGCAGACCGUUUAGCACACACCAGGCUGUGUGGACCCCGGCAGUACCUCGCCAGGUUUGGUCCCCACCCAGCCUUGUCCCCUUAGAUGUGACUCAGAGCAGUUCCUCAACCUUCCCGCGGUCACAGCCUGGCACAGGCCACAGAGCUGGGACCUGACGCUCCGGCUGCAGGCAGGGCUGGGGUUGGUGGGAUAUCAGGGUCUCACUUCCCUUCGCUUCCUUCCCUCCAGGAUCUAAGCCCUCCCUGGCUCCUGGGGUGUGACCACAGCACCCCUUCUCUUCCGUCCUCUCUGGGCCCCUUGCUCUGGACUCCAGCCCCAAGACCGCUCUGCACCCUAGGAGCGCAGCCUCCACAGGCUCAGACGGACCCCACGCCCAGUGCACAGCUCCCACUCCGAGGGCGCAGGCAGGCAGCCCCCCCCCCCCUCCCCCCUCUCCCCGCCGCCCCCCCCCCC
RNAcentral lists this transfer RNA (2106 nucleotides) under Ovis aries (sheep). RNAcentral's name for it is "lncRNA (ENSOARG00000026504.1)". The stretch from base 1033 to 1104 matches the Rfam family "tRNA". Lineage: Eukaryota; Metazoa; Chordata; Mammalia; Artiodactyla; Bovidae. The record is from RNAcentral.